Unclassified non-coding RNA from Pongo abelii (Sumatran orangutan), 148 nucleotides. It matches the Rfam family "Metazoan signal recognition particle RNA". Rfam says of the family: The signal recognition particle (SRP) is a universally conserved ribonucleoprotein. It is involved in the co-translational targeting of proteins to membranes. NCBI's taxonomy places the organism in Eukaryota, Metazoa, Chordata, Mammalia, Primates, Hominidae. The record is from Ensembl.
GCCAGGUGUAGUAGUGCAUGCCUGUAGUCCCAGCUACUUGGGAGGCAGAGGGAGGAGGAUCACUUGAGCCCAGGAGUUUGAGGUUGCAGUGAGCUGUGAUCACACCACUGCACUCCAGCCUGGACAACAGAGCAAGAUCCUCUCUCUU